This 860-nucleotide ribosomal RNA is filed under the name human gut metagenome. RNAcentral's name for it is "bacterial SSU rRNA". It matches the Rfam family "Bacterial small subunit ribosomal RNA", at positions 8 to 871 of the family's 1533-position model. The record is from RNAcentral.
AGAGUUUGAUCCUGGCUCAGGACGAACGCUGGCGGCGUGCCUAACACAUGCAAGUCGAGCGAGGAAUGACUGGUAGCUUGCUACCGGUUAUUUCUAGCGGCGGACGGGUGAGUAACGCGUGAGCAACCUGCCUUUAUCAGGGGGAUAACGCAUCGAAAGAUGUGCUAAUACCGCGUAAGACCACAGCCUCACAUGGGGCAGGGGUCAAAGGAGCAAUCCGGAUAAAGAUGGGCUCGCGUCCGAUUAGCUAGUUGGUGAGAUAACAGCCCACCAAGGCGACGAUCGGUAGCCGACCUGAGAGGGUGAUCGGCCACAUUGGAACUGAAAGACGGUCCAGACUCCUACGGGAGGCAGCAGUGGGGAAUAUUGGGCAAUGGGCGAAAGCCUGACCCAGCAACGCCGCGUGAGGGAAGAAGGGUUUCGGCUCGUAAACCUCUGUCCUAUGGGACGAAGGAAGUGACGGUACCAUAGGAGGAAGCCCCGGCUAACUACGUGCCAGCAGCCGCGGUAAUACGUAGGGGGCGAGCGUUGUCCGGAAUGAUUGGGCGUAAAGGGCGCGUAGGCGGCCUGCUAAGUCUGAAGUGAAAGUCCUGCUUUCAAGGUGGGAAGUGCUUUGGAUACUGGUGGGCUGGAGUGCAGGAGAGGAAAGCGGAAUUACCGGUGUAGCGGUGAAAUGCGUAGAGAUCGGUAGGAACACCAGUGGCGAAGGCGGCUUUCUGGACUGAAACUGACGCUGAGGCGCGAAAGCGUGGGGAGCAAACAGGAUUAGAUACCCUGGUAGUCCACGCGGUAAACGAUGAAUGCUAGGUGUAGGAGGUAUCGACCCCUUCUGUGCCGCAGUAAACACAAUAAGCAUUCCG